UACGUAGGUGGCAAGCGUUGUCCGGAUUUACUGGGCGUAAAGAGCGCGCAGGCGGUCGAAUAAGUCGAAUGUGAAAGCCCCCGGCUUAACUGGGGAGGGUCAUUCGAUACUGCUCGACUUGAAGGCAGGAGAGGGAAGUGGAAUUCCCGGUGUAGUGGUGAAAUGCGUAGAUAUCAGGAAGAACACCCGUGGCUAAGGCGGCUCUCUAGUACGGUACUGACGCUGAGACGCGAAAGCGUGGGGAGCGAACAGG
RNAcentral lists this ribosomal RNA (253 nucleotides) under uncultured bacterium. RNAcentral's name for it is "partial 16S ribosomal RNA". It matches the Rfam family "Bacterial small subunit ribosomal RNA", at positions 524 to 776 of the family's 1533-position model. The record is from RNAcentral.